RNAcentral lists this small RNA (1189 nucleotides) under uncultured Rhodocyclaceae bacterium. RNAcentral's name for it is "bacterial SSU rRNA". The stretch from base 1 to 468 matches the Rfam family "Bacterial small subunit ribosomal RNA", at positions 1064 to 1533 of the family's 1533-position model. Lineage: Bacteria; Pseudomonadati; Pseudomonadota; Betaproteobacteria; Rhodocyclales; Rhodocyclaceae. The record is from RNAcentral.
GUCGUGAGAUGUUGGGUUAAGUCCCGCAACGAGCGCAACCCUUGUCAUUAGUUGCUACCAUUUAGUUGAGCACUCUAAUGAGACUGCCGGUGACAAACCGGAGGAAGGUGGGGAUGACGUCAAGUCCUCAUGGCCCUUAUGGGUAGGGCUUCACACGUCAUACAAUGGUCGGUACAGAGGGUUGCCAACCCGCGAGGGGGAGCCAAUCUCAGAAAGCCGAUCGUAGUCCGGAUUGUAGUCUGCAACUCGACUACAUGAAGUCGGAAUCGCUAGUAAUCGCGGAUCAGCAUGUCGCGGUGAAUACGUUCCCGGGUCUUGUACACACCGCCCGUCACACCAUGGGAGUGGGUUUUACCAGAAGUAGUUAGCCUAACCGCAAGGAGGGCGAUUACAACGGUAGGAUUCAUGACUGGGGCGAAGUCGUAACAAGGUAGCCGUAUCGGAAGGUGCGGCUGGAUCACCUCCUUUCUAGAGUAAGCACGAGGUUCCAAGUGCUCACGCUUAUCGGUUGUUUCGAGCAGGGUGUCGCGUGCGAGGACGUUGGUCGUCUGCGCCUCGCCCCGGUCCCGAGAACAUCGGGUCUGUAGCUCAGCUGGUUAGAGCAUCGUCUUGAUAAGGCGGGGGUCGAUGGUUCGAGUCCAUCCAGACCCACCACGUGUUCUCGCUGCUGCAUGCCGAUGAAUCGGGGGUUUAGCUCAGCUGGGAGAGCACCUGCUUUGCAAGCAGGGGGUCGUCGGUUCGAUCCCGACAACCUCCACCAAGAUUCGCUUCGAAAACAAUCGUUCUUGUCUCAAGAGUUCAAAGUCAAGCGCAUGACGUGCGUUUGCCUUUGAUCGUUUGAUCAAUUGGCUGUUCGAUCUUUAACAAUCUGGAAGAAGUAAAGUAAUGUGCUUUGAUGGAAAGUCGCGCCUCAUACAGGGUGCGUCCGUACAUCGGAACAUGGGUGUGAUUGUAUCAACCAAGUUUUAAGUGUUCUCUUAACAAAGACGACGCUUGGAAUGCGGCACAAACGCUAAACUCAAUUCCUGUAACGGCCUUGUCAGAGGCUGUCUCGAAAGAGACAUCAACGUUAUAGGGUCAAGCGAAUAAGUGCAUGUGGUGGAUGCCUUGGCGAUUACAGGCGAUGAAGGACGUUGUAGCGUGCGAAAAGCUUCGGGGAGCUCGCAAACAAGCAUUGAUCCGAAGAUGU